This 686-nucleotide ribosomal RNA is filed under the name Nanobacterium sp. Schreyahn_AOB_Sali_Kultur_12. RNAcentral describes it as "bacterial SSU rRNA". It matches the Rfam family "Bacterial small subunit ribosomal RNA", at positions 28 to 762 of the family's 1533-position model. The record is from RNAcentral.
AACGAACGCUGGCGGCAGGCUUAACACAUGCAAGUCGAACGCCCCUUCGGGGGAGUGGCAGACGGGUGAGUAACGCGUGGGAAUCUACCUAGCUCUACGGAACAACACAGGGAAACUUGUGCUAAUACCGUAUACGUCCUUCGGGAGAAAGAUUUAUCGGAGUUGGAUGAGCCCGCGUUGGAUUAGCUAGUUGGUGGGGUAAAAGCCUACCAAGGCGACGAUCCAUAGCUGGUCUGAGAGGAUGAUCAGCCACAUUGGGACUGAGACACGGCCCAAACUCCUACGGGAGGCAGCAGUGGGGAAUAUUGGACAAUGGGCGCAAGCCUGAUCCAGCCAUGCCGCGUGAGUGAUGAAGGCCCUAGGGUUGUAAAGCUCUUUCAGUGGGGAAGAUAAUGACGGUACCCACAGAAGAAGCCCCGGCUAACUUCGUGCCAGCAGCCGCGGUAAUACGAAGGGGGCUAGCGUUGUUCGGAAUUACUGGGCGUAAAGCGCACGUAGGCGGAUUGUUUAGUGAGGGGUGAAAUCCCAGGGCUCAACCCUGGAACUGCCUCUCAUACUGGCAAUCUCGAGUCCGGAAGAGGUGAGUGGAAUUCCAAGUGUAGAGGUGAAAUUCGUAGAUAUUCGGAGGAACACCAGUGGCGAAGGCGGCUCACUGGUCCGGUACUGACGCUGAGGUGCGAAAGCGU